UAGGGAAUCUUCCGCAAUGGACGCAAGUCUGACGGAGCAACGCCGCGUGAGUGAAGAAGGUUUUCGGAUCGUAAAACUCUGUUGUUAGAGAAGAACAAGUGCUAGAGUAACUGUUAGCGCCUUGACGGUAUCUAACCAGAAAGCCACGGCUAACUACGUGCCAGCAGCCGCGGUAAUACGUAGGUGGCAAGCGUUGUCCGGAUUUAUUGGGCGUAAAGCGAGCGCAGGCGGUUCCUUAAGCCUGAUGUGAAAGCCCCCGGCUCAACCGGGGAGGGUCAUUGGAAACUGGGGAACUUGAGUGCAGAAGAGGAGAGUGGAAUUCCAUGUGUAGCGGUGAAAUGCGUAGAUAUAUGGAGGAACACCAGUGGCGAAGGCGACUCUCUGGUCUGUAACUGACGCUGAGGCUCGAAAGCGUGGGUAGCAAACAGGAUUAGAUACCCUGGUAGUCCACGCCGUAAACGAUGAGUGCUAAGUGUUGGAGGGUUUCCGCCCUUCAGUGCUGCAGUUAACGCAUUAAGCACUCCGCCUGGGGAGUACGACCGCUUG
RNAcentral lists this ribosomal RNA (546 nucleotides) under uncultured bacterium. RNAcentral describes it as "bacterial SSU rRNA". It matches the Rfam family "Bacterial small subunit ribosomal RNA", at positions 355 to 892 of the family's 1533-position model. The record is from RNAcentral.